This 252-nucleotide ribosomal RNA is filed under the name uncultured bacterium. RNAcentral describes it as "partial 16S ribosomal RNA". It matches the Rfam family "Bacterial small subunit ribosomal RNA", at positions 524 to 776 of the family's 1533-position model. The record is from RNAcentral.
UACGGGGGGGGCAAGCGUUGUUCGGAAUUACUGGGCGUAAAGGGCUCGUAGGUGGCAACUAAGUCAGACGUGAAAUCCCUCGGCUUAACCGGGGAACUGCGUCUGAUACUGGAUGGCUUGAGUUCGGGAGAGGGAUGCGGAAUUCCAGGUGUAGCGGUGAAAUGCGUAGAUAUCUGGAGGAACACCGGUGGCGAAGGCGGCAUCCUGGACCGACACUGACGCUGAGGAGCGAAAGCCAGGGGAGCAAACGGG